UAGGGUGGGCUAUAUGUGAGAAAUUCUCUUCUGCCAGAUAGAAGACUAGAGCUGACUAGACAUGGUUAUUUCCUUCCCCCCAGGUGAGUUAAACUUCCAUGAUAUCCCAGCCAGUUGGGCUCUGCUUAAUUAAUUUCUCCUGAGGGUGAGGCUUCUUAAGAAGAGUGGAAUGCCCCAGCAUAUUUCAAAAUGGUUUCUCUUCCCAUCUUCUUUGGGAAGUAAGAGAGGAUUUUUCUCUGAUAUUCACUGUAAGGACUUGGUUGAGCUCUUGGAAAUAAUUCUCACGAAACUGGGUCCCCCCCUGGAAUUCUUAAAUCUCAGAUUUAUCCAUGCUGAGCCUCAGCAGUUCAUCACAGUUCUUGUUUUCCUACUCUGCAAUGGUUCCCCUGCACUGGUUUCAGCUCCUGAGUCUCUGUUCAGGUAAGUUUUUAUUUUUUUGUAUAUGACUGUUGGUCUCUUCAAUCUUGGGAGAUUCCUUUAGCCCAGCAUCCUAACCUCUCUUCAGGCUCUUUUAAGAUGUGUUGCUUUUUUCAGAUUAAUAAUAAGAAUUUUACUUGUAUGUGGGUAAGACUGAGUGGGAGCUUCUAUGCUUCUUAUAUACAGAACCAAAAAUCAAUCAGCAUGUUUUACUCUUGACUUGGAAUGGAAAACCAAAUAGCAUUUCAGAAAACUAUAAUAAAAUUCACAGUGUUUGUAAAAUAUUGUUGUGAACCAUGUUAUAAAAAGCUUAAUAAGCUCUGCUCUGCUCUAAUUUGGUAGGUAAAUUGGGAGAAAAAACAUUAAGUAGUACUAACACUGUGUUUUUUUUCUUUUCCAUCCUUUUUCAUCAUUGCCAACCUAAGGGGCUGGCACAUUCUUAAUACUUCAACCCUAUCCUUAAUUCCUAUGUUCCAAACUUAAACAGAAGCAGAAACAAGGAUUCAAAGACAAGACCAACUUGUUUGCAGGAGAGGCAGAUUUUUAUAAUUUAUAUGACUCCCUGAGUGUCUACUCUAUCAUAUAUUUCAAGCACAACAAUCCUGAAAAUCUAUAUUUAUUGAACAUAUUAUAGAGAUGAUAAAUGUUCAACUAAUAAAAAUACAUUAUUUCAGAUAAUUUUCAGGAACUGUCUAUGAUGAGAUAUAUUAUUAUACUGAAAAGGUAAAUAAAUGAUAACAUUUCAAGAAAGAAAAAAGUAUAAUAGAAUAUCCAGGGAUUAUAAUUUCAGAUUUGAAUGGAAACAGAGAUUCAGAUAAUUAUAAGAAUUUUUUUUUUCCAAAUCUUGGCUCAGCUAUCCCUUCUCAUAUAUUUUUUUAUUUUUGUGGCAAGGUGGCUUGGAGCCAGUCUUUUCUUUCCUAUUAACCUCAGAGCCAAUGCCCUGAGGUUAAUAGAAAAGGAAGAGAAUACCUCUUCCCAGUCACAGAAGCAAUUUUCAGAGUGCUUUUGGUUGCUUUGGAUCACAUGUUCUUCUCUACACUUGCAAUGAGUUUGAGGAAUGGAGUAUUCUAAUGAGUUAGAGGGAGCUAUAGCCACAGCUCAACCACUGGUGCAGUAGAGACACUUUUACCUAAAUUACACCAGUUUAAUUAGGGAGGUAUAUUACUCAAAGUAAAAUCUACUGGCUAAAAACAAGAAAACUGUUAAGAUAGUUUUCAGGGGGCAGUUACUGUAAGAUUGUGUAUUAAACUCAAGCAAAUAUGUUUUUGCAUAUAUGAAUUAGCACAACUAUCAUAAUGAUAUAUUGCUAUUAGAAGAGUCACCAAGAUUAUAUAUUCAAAGCUCAAAAUUCAGCGAGAGCUCCGUUUUAUCCUUUCUCUUCAUACUUAAUUUCUUCACUUAGAGCUUGAAUUUCUUCUGAUUAAAAAAUAAAGUCCUGCCAACAAAUCAUAGAUCAUAGUUAACUUGGGACUAUAAAUUAAAAUAUGACUGUGGCAAAUAAAAGAUACAUAGAAAUUCAAAUCUAUGAAAGUUAAUUUUAAUGUUUCAAUUUUUAUUGAAAUAUUUAUUUAUAUCAUAUAUUGACCUAGUUGUGACAACGGGUACAUAAUCUUCAUCUGAACCACUGCUAAAAAUGUUGAAUAAGAAAUAUGUAUUGAAAUAAUAUAUAUUAUUAUUAAGUCAACAAAGUAAAUAUCAAUCAUAGUUAAGGACAGUCAAUCAACAAAGUAAAUAUAAAAAACAAAACUAAAAAGCUGAUCUAGAAAACUGAAAUGUUAAAAAUCAAGUAGCUUUCAUCUGGGAAACAACCUCUGGGAUAAUUACAUGGAGGAAAUGUGCAUGCAGAAAGUUAAUUUGGAAGGGUUCAAGUUGUCAGUAAUUGUCUGCAAGUGAAAGAAGCAAGGUUGAGAAGGAUAAUAUGGGCCAUCUCGGAGUCACUGGAAAACAACAAAACUUAAUGUCACAAUGGAGUUCUAGAGCUAAAAUAGACUUGCAAAAUUGGCCUGAAUUGAGGCAAAUAGUAUGCUCAUUCAAUAUCAUGCAUAUUGAUCAGUCUUUGGAUAUGUAAUGCAUCAGAAAAUUGAUCUGACCUUGGAUGAAGUACCUUCCUUCAGCUGAGGGCAAUCUUUAUGAAGGGGGAUGAAAUGCAAUGUGUUAUCUGAUAAUAUGUCCAACAGCUGGGAAAAUGAAUUUCAGUCCAGCAUUUAGGUUGGUGGUAGAAAAAAGUAAGGCUCUUGGCAGUGCUCUCAGUACCCUCUGGAACUUAAGUAUUAAUGAGAAAACAGCACAAAAUUAUUGCUAUUAAAAAAAAAUAAUUUCUUCAGCAAGACAAUGAAGACACUCAAAAGAUUACCUAUUUUAAAAUGAGAAUAAACAUGUCCCAAGCAUGACAGUUUUGGUACCCUAAAUACAACAGUUUGUGUCACACAGCACUCAUUUGAAUUGAUGGAGGAAAAAAAAAUAAAUGAAAUUCAUUUGUUCUUUAGAAAGAGAUCUAACUGAAAAAGCUUCAAGUUCUUUCUGACCCUGUUUUUCUAAUUCACAUAAUUUAAACAGUCCUCUCUUUUUAAUUUUCUGGUGUGUGCUUUUCAGGACCAUGCUUUUCUUAAUGUAUUCUGUAUGUCCUAAUGGGCACAACAUAGAGAAAAUUAGGAUCCAUAAAAUAUAUAAUACAAGUACACAUUUUAGCUAAAAAUACUCAAGACUUCCAAUAAUCCAAAACAAAUAGUACAGAACUACACUAGGGAUCACUUAAAGGUCAAUUUUCAAUAUCAUGUGCUUUUAGACCAAGCAAAGUAAAUAUAAUGUUCUUGCACUUAUUAAGCUAGGACAGUUUAAACAUGAGGCACGAACCAAUUAGAUCUGUCUGUAGUACAUUAUCAUUAAAAACAGUAAUUAUUUUACUGCUGAGUGAAUUGGUAAAUUGCUCCCGACCUGCUUUCCCAUUUAUUCCUAAGACAGGACAGAUUGCUAUUGUUUUCCUAAGGAUUUUAUCCAGUAUAUUGUCCUCAGUGCAAUAAACCUGAACUCUGAAUGAAAUUAUCCCAAUAAUUUAUGAGGCUCUGUCUUUAUGGAGCCAUGUCGUUGAGUAGCCAAUUUCAAAACCCCAAAAAUGUCUGUUACUGCUCUAUUUAUUUCACUAUAAAUCAAAAAUUGUUUCUCAGUAUUUUCUUUCAAAGAUUAUCAGCCUCUUAAUCACAGAAAAGAUCUGAAACAUGCUCUACAUUCUUAACUGAAAACUAGGAACACUUUCAUUAGGAAGCUCAUUCCAAUAAAAUUUGUGUUCUUUAAUGCAGUUUUUCAUGGGCAAUUCACUGUAUCUAUUGUUUGCAUUUUGAAGAUGUAGCAAUGACUAUUUGUAAUUGAAAAAUUAACCUGAUAGCAACCUUGAUAUGUUAUAGAUUUGUGAUUUCCCCUAAAAUCAAGUGAUGGCAUUAAACCAAUAUUUUAAUGUUGUGAACAUAUGUCUAUUUCAACGAUAUAUACAGAAAUCAUAAUGUGGGUAUAUUUCCAUGAAAAACAACUUUGUUUGAACACUGUUUUAGAAAUGACUUGAGAGAAAGUUCAUUCCAAGUCCCAAGGGACUGGUAAAGUCUCCAGGUGAGGCCUUAUCCUUCCAAAGGAGAAGGCAGAUCUUGACAAGAAACCAAAGCACCGACAAAUUGUCUAUGGCAUGCGGUGUGAGGAGACUUCCAAAAUAAAAGAGACCUGUAUAGACAAGUAUUGAAGCUUGACUAUUUCUGUGGAAGUUUCUGCAGACUUUUUUUUAUAGUUAGCUGAAGGAAGAAAGAAACUUGUUUCUUUGAAGUCCUUCUGAAAACCCCUAAAUGCCUAAGAGAUAGACCCCCACACUUGUUAUUUAAAUGGUAACCUUUUCUUGACAACAAGUAAAUUGCUGUCAUAAGCUCAUAUUCUUUACAAUUCACAGAAAAGGUUUUUUUGUUGUUGUUUAAAUGAAAUUUCUUUGUUGAUAUUUGCUUGGGGAAAAAAAAGGUGGAAGGACUUAAAGUCAAAAAUGGUAUAGAUUAGUUUGGUAAUUUCUUUUCAGUAUCAAGAAGGAUGUGAGAUUUGCUAGUAUGCUUGAGAAGUGGAAAGCAUUCCGGGUAGAGGAAUGAUGUAUAAAGGCUCUGAAAGCAGAAAAUCAUUCAGAUUAUUUAAGGACUGAAAAAGAUCAGUAAUUCUGGAGUUGAGUACUUGGAAGUAGAGUUGGAGUUAUGUGGGAGUCCCACCACCAAGGUAUUUAUAUGCUCUGAUUAGUUCAUGCUUUAUUUGAAGGAUAUAUAGGAUGUAUAUUGUGAUACAGUGUUUCAGCUUUUUAAUAUUUGGGAAUUUUGUUUAUGAUGCUAUAUCUACAUUGAUUUAUUGUACAUAUGGUUCUUUUUUCAGGCCAGUAAGAUAGGACAUUUCAUACUAACUACCUCAAAGAGUGACAUACAAAACUCAGAACUUAAAAAUAAGUCAUUUUUGGCCGUUGCAUUUCAAAAAGAAAGGAAAAAUCUAGAUACAAGGAGAAUGUAUGCUAAUGCAAAGAAGGUAUUUUGAGUGUCUUGGGCUAUGACAAACUUCUUUAUGUAGGGUUUGGUAUAUGAAGAGAAAUAUCAGAUGAAAUGGAGAUGUAACACAGAGAGAAGGUCACCUAAAGAAGCUCUGGCAGUGGUCAAGGUGAGGAGGAUGUAGCAGUGGCCUGUUGGUCCUGUGUUAUUGUCUGAAGGCUGGAUGAGAGGAUAUUUGUCUUUGUCUUGCCUUAUGUCCACUUUGAUGCCCUUAAAAUUGUCAGUUGACAUGAACUGUUAAUCCCCCAUGUGGCCCUAUGUUAGUGGGACAUAGGAUAUAAGCUACUUGAACUGAGAUGAACCCAGAGGAAGGCCCAACUUGGGAUUGAUUUCACUAAAUAAAAUUGGUCUUGUUAUUUUCUAAAGGCCUUCCAAGGACACAUUGCUCAUAUCCCCGGAGUUCCCCUUGUGGCUCAGUGGUAAUGUACCCAACUAGUACCCAUGAGGAUGCAGGUUCAAACCCUGGCCUCACUCAGUGGAUUUCUGGCAUUGCCGUGAACUGUGGUGUAGGUCUCAAAUGUGGCUUGGAUCCAGCAUUGCUAUGGCAUAGGCCAGCAGCAGCUCCAAUUUGACCCCUAGCCUGGGAACUUCCAUAUGCUGUA
Molecule: long non-coding RNA, 5572 nt
Filed under: Sus scrofa (pig)
Lineage: Eukaryota; Metazoa; Chordata; Mammalia; Artiodactyla; Suidae
Description: lncRNA (ENSSSCG00000052841.1)
Source: RNAcentral